CUGGCUCAGAUUGAACGCUGGCGGCAUGCCUUACACAUGCAAGUCGAACGGCAGCACGGGAGCAAUCCUGGUGGCGAGUGGCGAACGGGUGAGUAAUACAUCGGAACGUGUCCUGUAGUGGGGGAUAGCCCGGCGAAAGCCGGAUUAAUACCGCAUACGCUCUACGGAGGAAAGGGGGGGAUCUUAGGACCUCUCGCUACAGGGGCGGCCGAUGGCAGAUUAGCUAGUUGGUGGGGUAAAGGCCUACCAAGGCGACGAUCUGUAGCUGGUCUGAGAGGACGACCAGCCACACUGGGACUGAGACACGGCCCAGACUCCUACGGGAGGCAGCAGUGGGGAAUUUUGGACAAUGGGCGCAAGCCUGAUCCAGCAAUGCCGCGUGUGUGAAGAAGGCUUCGGGUUGUAAAGCACUUUUGUCCGGAAAGAAAACUCUGGGUUAAUACCCCGGGGGGAUGACGGUACCGGAAGAU
RNAcentral lists this ribosomal RNA (470 nucleotides) under bacterium PN39. RNAcentral's name for it is "bacterial SSU rRNA". It matches the Rfam family "Bacterial small subunit ribosomal RNA", at positions 19 to 486 of the family's 1533-position model. The record is from RNAcentral.